UACGUAGGGCGCGAGCGUUGUCCGGAUUUAUUGGGCGUAAAGAGCUCGUAGGCGGCUUGUCGCGUCGUGCGUGAAAUCUUGGGGCUCAACCCCAAGCUUGCGGUCGAUACGGGCAGGCUAGAGUUCGGUAGGGGAGACUGGAACUCCUGGUGUAGCGGUGAAAUGCGCAGAUAUCAGGAGGAACACCGGUGGCGAAGGCGGGUCUCUGGGCCGUAACUGACGCUGAGGAGCGAAAGCGUGGGGAGCGAACAGG
Molecule: ribosomal RNA, 253 nt
Filed under: uncultured bacterium
Lineage: Bacteria
Description: partial 16S ribosomal RNA
Rfam family: Bacterial small subunit ribosomal RNA
Source: RNAcentral